RNAcentral lists this ribosomal RNA (1554 nucleotides) under uncultured Latescibacterota bacterium. RNAcentral describes it as "bacterial SSU rRNA". It matches the Rfam family "Bacterial small subunit ribosomal RNA". Lineage: Bacteria; Pseudomonadati; Candidatus Latescibacterota. The record is from RNAcentral.
AGAGUUUGAUCCUGGCUCAGAACGAACGCUGGCGGCGUGGUUUAGGCAUGCAAGUCGGACGAUCUUAGGAUAGUGGCAAAAGGGUGAGUAACACGUGGGUAAUUUACCCUCAAGUCGGGAAUAACACCUCGAAAGAGAUGCUAAUACCGGAUGAGACCACAAGGACGUAUGUCCUGGCGGUUAAAGCCGAGGAUACCUAACAUCUUUGAUGUCAGGUACUUGGCGCUUAAGGAUGAACCCGCGUCCUAUCAGCUUGUUGGUGAGGUAACGGCUCACCAAGGCAUUUGACGGGUAGCUGGUCUGAGAGGAUGGUCAGCCACACUGGGACUGAGACACUGCCCAGACUUCUACGGGAGGCUGCAGUCGAGAAUCUUUCGCAAUGGGGGAAACCUUGACGAAGCGACGCCGCGUGGGCGAUGAAGGCCUUCGGGUUGUAAAGCCCUGUCACGAGGGACGAAUACACAAUGGUUAAUUACCGGAGUGUUUGACGGUACCUCGAGAGGAAGCCACGGCUAACUCCGUGCCAGCAGCCGCGGUAAUACGGAGGUGGCAAGCGUUGUUCGGAUUCAUUGGGUGUAAAGGGCAUGUAGGCGGCCUUUUAAGUCGAUUGUGAAAUCCCUUGGCUUAACCAAGGAACUGCAAUCGAUACUGGGAGGCUUGAGUGCAGAAGAGGAGAGCGGAAUUCCCGGUGUAAGAGUGAAAUCUGUAGAGAUCGGGAGGAACACCAGUGGCGAAGGCGGUUUUCUGGUCUGCAACUGACGCUGAAAUGCGAAAGCUAGGGGAGCAAACAGGAUUAGAUACCCUGGUAGUCCUAGCCGUAAACGAUGGGCACUAGGUGUCGGUCAGCAAUGGGCGGUGCCGCAGUUAACACAUUAAGUGCCCCACCUGGGGACUACGGCCGCAAGGUUGAAACUCAAAGGAAUUGACGGGGACCCGCACAAGCGGUGGAGCAUGUGGUUUAAUACGACGCUACGCGUGGAACCUUACCAGGACUUGACAUGUACCUGAAAGCCCGGUGAAAGCCGGGCCCUCCCUCAAGGACGGGUACACAGGUGUUGCAUGGCUGUCGUCAGCUCGUGUCGUGAGAUGUUGGGUUAAGUCCCGCAACGAGCGCAACCAUUGUCUUUAGUUGCUAACUCAGGUUUCUGAGAGCACUCUAGAGAGACUGCCUGUUGUUUGACAGGAGGAAGGUGAAGAUGACGUCAAGUCAGUAUGGCCCUUACGUCCUGGGCUACACACGUGCUACAAUGGGGCGUACAAAGAGAAGCAAAGCCGCGAGGUAGAGCAAAUCUCAAAAAGCGCCUCUCAGUUCGGAUUGAAGGCUGCAAUUCGCCUUCAUGAAGUUGGAAUCGCUAGUAACCGCGCAUCAGCUAUGGCGCAGUGAAUACGUUCCCGGGUCUUGUACACACCGCCCGUCAAGUCACCUGAGUUGGGUGCACCCGAAGUUGCCAUACCAACCCUUAUGGGGAGGAAGGUGUCGAAGGUGUGCCCGGCGAGGAGGACUAAGUCGUAACAAGGUAGCCGUAUCGGAAGGUGCGGCUGGAUCACCUCCUU